Molecule: long non-coding RNA, 1011 nt
Organism: Amphiprion ocellaris (clown anemonefish)
Lineage: Eukaryota; Metazoa; Chordata; Actinopteri; Pomacentridae
Source: Ensembl
CACGCGUCGUCUCGCAAGAACCGCGCGAUACACGAACAGACACAAUGGCAAUGGCGGCCCGGUAUCGCCAUUCCGACUCACCACAAACUCCUCGCAUAGAACAGCCUGGACAUGACCGACUGGUUCCAGUCAGACCCGCGACAGACACUGAGAAGAAAUUAUUGAGCGUUAUCAGCCGGCUGUCUGGUCAGAGAGGACCGCUGGAGGAGAAGCUGGAGGAGAGGAUAGCCGCCAUGGAAGCCAAAUUAAACACUUUCUCCAGCGGCGAGGAAAUUCAGCGGAAAAGAGGAGAGCACAGUCCUAAAAUUGUGACUGGGCUCACCUCACAAUGAGACAGUCAGGACAUAUUUAGUUAAAACUUUGGCUGAAGUCCAGAUGUGGAGGAUGUGGAGACAGACGUCCUUCUAUCUGAUUUUAAAAAGCAUUUUGAAACUCUACGGAGGAACUACCGCUACAUUCAACCCAACAUGGCGGAUCAGGCAGAGGCCAUAAAGGCUUCUGCCCGGAGUCACCACAGAAGAAAGAGGCUGCUGGAUGCCAGGAAGACAGUCCUUGCUCCAGAUGAAGAGGACUUCUGGAAGGGCAUCACAGCUGACAUGAUGUCAGAUGAAGAGGACGGCAGCGUUGACGGAGUGCGUGGAUGGAUAGUACGGCCUCCAUCCUUCCACAGCCAGGAGCUUGCCAACCUGUGUGCAGCCCUACAGGCUGGAGGCUGAUGUAAAGUACACAGCUCUACAUCACAGGUGUUUUCACAAUGGACAGCCGUCUGAUAGACAUAAGUAUGACACAGCAGCAGCAAAGAGACAUUUUAAGCCAGAGCUGAUGCCUGAGACCAGCUCAGUGUGAGAGACCAACUUGCCCAUUUUUUAGUUAUUAAUUUGUUUUGAAAUAUUUAUUUAAUUUUUUGGUAAAUUUUAUUUUUUUUAAAGAAUGGUUUAUCUUGUUUUAAUUUUGGAUUUUGGGAACUCUUACAAUCUAUACUGUUCAAUAAAGCUGUUGUUUUUCAACAUG